Long non-coding RNA from Hordeum vulgare subsp. vulgare (domesticated barley), 724 nucleotides. RefSeq lists it as uncharacterized. The transcript has 3 exons. The record is from RefSeq and is a predicted model, not a curated record. Lineage: Eukaryota; Viridiplantae; Streptophyta; Magnoliopsida; Poales; Poaceae.
CGCCGCCUUCCUCGCCGUCGCCGCCGCCGCCGCUAGCCUCGGCAAGGCGACAGAGUACGAGAGGGCGCUGUUCCGGGCGCUCUCCGCGCUCGUCGGCGAGGACAGGGACACGGAGGUGGCCGUCGAUCGGUCCAGGUUGCCUCUCGCGGUGGCUUUCAUAUGAUUUCUCCUGCCGAUUUGGAAGGAGCCACAAAGUUGACUGGUGAAACUGAACAGCGUUCUUGCUCGUGUGUGACAGCUGCUCAGGGAGUUCCCCAGGGAUCUCAUGUCCCUCAGGAGAGCGCAACUCAUCUGCUUCUAUGUCGGACGGCCAGACACAUCCCUCGAAUUUGUUUAACAAAACCGGAUAUCCCACUGGCCAUCAUCAUACGACGGGAGGCCAUAAUACCCCACGCCUCCUUCUCGGGCGAUACUAUGGAUUCAGCUUGACCACGCUCCGAACUGCGCAUGCUGGAAACCAAGGCAAUCGGCUUUGGGCCACUUGGCAUGUGAGCACCGCCCGCUGAUACGUCUCCAACCUAUCUAUAAUUUUUAAUUGUUUCAUGUUGUUAUAUUAUCAUUCUUGGAUGUUUUAUGAUCAUUUUAUAGCAAAUUUAUAUCAUUUCUUGCGACUAACCUAUUGUCAUAGCGUGCAGUGUCAGUUGCUGUUUUUUUCCUUUACAGAAAAUCAAUACCAGAUGAAGUCCAAAUGCCAUGAAACUUUUUGGAGAAUUGUUUUGGACCA